GCAGUCGAACGAACUUCCGUUAUUGAUUAUGACGUACUUGUACUGAUUGAGAUUUUAACACGAAGUGAGUGGCGAACGGGUGAGUAACACGUGGGUAACCUGCCCAGAAGUAGGGGAUAACACCUGGAAACAGAUGCUAAUACCGUAUAACAGAGAAAACCGCAUGGUUUUCUUUUAAAAGAUGGCUCUGCUAUCACUUCUGGAUGGACCCGCGGCGUAUUAGCUAGUUGGUGAGGUAAAGGCUCACCAAGGCAGUGAUACGUAGCCGACCUGAGAGGGUAAUCGGCCACAUUGGGACUGAGACACGGCCCAGACUCCUACGGGAGGCAGCAGUAGGGAAUCUUCCACAAUGGACGCAAGUCUGAUGGAGCAACGCCGCGUGAGUGAAGAAGGGUUUCGGCUCGUAAAGCUCUGUUGUUAAAGAAGAACGUGGGUAAGAGUAACUGUUUACCCAGUGACGGUAUUUAACCAGAAAGCCACGGCUAACUACGUGCCAGCAGCCGCGGUAAUACGUAGGUGGCAAGCGUUAUCCGGAUUUAUUGGGCGUAAAGCGAGCGCAGGCGGUCUUUUAAGUCUAAUGUGAAAGCCUUCGGCUCAACCGAAGAAGUGCAUUGGAAACUGGGAGACUUGAGUGCAGAAGAGGACAGUGGAACUCCAUGUGUAGCGGUGAAAUGCGUAGAUAUAUGGAAGAACACCAGUGGCGAAGGCGGCUGUCUGGUCUGCAACUGACGCUGAGGCUCGAAAGCAUGGGUAGCGAACAGGAUUAGAUACCCUGGUAGUCCAUGCCGUAAACGAUGAUUACUAAGUGUUGGAGGGUUUCCGCCCUUCAGUGCUGCAGCUAACGCAUUAAGUAAUCCGCCUGGGGAGUACGACCGCAAGGUUGAAACUCAAAAGAAUUGACGGGGGCCCGCACAAGCGGUGGAGCAUGUGGUUUAAUUCGAAGCUACGCGAAGAACCUUACCAGGUCUUGACAUCUUCUGACAGUCUAAGAGAUUAGAGGUUCCCUUCGGGGACAGAAUGACAGGUGGUGCAUGGUUGUCGUCAGCUCGUGUCGUGAGAUGUUGGGUUAAGUCCCGCAACGAGCGCAACCCUUAUUACUAGUUGCCAGCAUUAAGUUGGGCACUCUAGUGAGACUGCCGGUGACAAACCGGAGGAAGGUGGGGACGACGUCAAAUCAUCAUGCCCCUUAUGACCUGGGCUACACACGUGCUACAAUGGAUGGUACAACGAGUCGCGAAACCGCGAGGUUAAGCUAAUCUCUUAAAACCAUUCUCAGUUCGGACUGUAGGCUGCAACUCGCCUACACGAAGUCGGAAUCGCUAGUAAUCGCGGAUCAGCAUGCCGCGGUGAAUACGUUCCCGGGCCUUGUACACACCGCCCGUCACACCAUGAGAGUUUGUAACACCCAAAGCCGGUGG
RNAcentral lists this ribosomal RNA (1418 nucleotides) under Pediococcus sp. RNAcentral describes it as "bacterial SSU rRNA". It matches the Rfam family "Bacterial small subunit ribosomal RNA", at positions 57 to 1433 of the family's 1533-position model. The record is from RNAcentral. Lineage: Bacteria; Bacillati; Bacillota; Bacilli; Lactobacillales; Lactobacillaceae.